This 327-nucleotide RNase P RNA is filed under the name Aquabacterium sp. Its description in RNAcentral is "RNase P RNA component class A". It matches the Rfam family "Bacterial RNase P class A". From Rfam's summary of the family: Ribonuclease P (RNase P) is a ubiquitous endoribonuclease, found in archaea, bacteria and eukarya as well as chloroplasts and mitochondria. Its best characterised activity is the generation of mature 5'-ends of tRNAs by cleaving the 5'-leader elements of precursor-tRNAs. Lineage: Bacteria; Pseudomonadati; Pseudomonadota; Betaproteobacteria; Burkholderiales; Sphaerotilaceae. The record is from RNAcentral.
GAAGUCAGCCAGACCGCCGCUGGUGCAAGGCCCGAAAGGGCGCACUGGAGGAAGGUCCGGACUGCACAGGGCAGCGCAGGAGGUAACACCUCUCCACCGCGAGGUGAGGAUCAGAGCAACAGAGACGAGCCGGUUAGGUCCGGGUGAAACGGGCAAUCUCUGCGCGCAGCAACACCAAAUAGGCACACGUUGACCUGGCCCGGGGAGUGUGCGGGUAGGUGGCACCGAGCCGUUCUGGCGACAGGCGGCCCAGAGGAAUGGCGGUCACGGCACCGCGUCGCAAGGCGCGGGGCUGCACAGAAUCCGGCCUAUCGGCUGACUUCACAC